GAGUUUGAUCGUGGCUCAGGAUUAACGCUGGCGGCGUGCAUGAAACAUGCAAGUCGAGCGCGGUGUGAUGCGGGGUAACCCAAUUCGACAUCUAGCGGCGAACGGGUGAGUAGCACGUGAGCAACCUACCUUCGAGUUGGGGAUAGGCCCUGGGAAACCAGGAUUAAUACCCGAUGUGGUCACAACAGGACAUCCUGUAUGUGGAGUAAAGGCGUAAGCCGCUCGAUGGCGGGCUCGGCGGCCUAUUAGCUUGUUGGUGGGGUAACGGCCGUACCAAGGCGAUGAUGGGUAGCUGGUCUGAGAGGACGGAUCAGCCACACUGGGACUGAG
This 330-nucleotide ribosomal RNA is filed under the name uncultured bacterium. RNAcentral's name for it is "bacterial SSU rRNA". It matches the Rfam family "Bacterial small subunit ribosomal RNA", at positions 9 to 323 of the family's 1533-position model. The record is from RNAcentral.